Molecule: non-coding RNA, 501 nt
Organism: Arachis ipaensis
Lineage: Eukaryota; Viridiplantae; Streptophyta; Magnoliopsida; Fabales; Fabaceae
Source: RefSeq, a predicted model, not a curated record
ACUCUGUCCUGCUUUACAUAAAUGUUCCUCUGUAUCCUUACUCAGCCUUAAACCACAGUAGAUUAUUAGAUUCACCGCUGUUGCCGUUUUGUAGCUGCCUCGCGGUGUUGUUCCAUCGUCACUGUUGCUGGAAGAAGCAGUCGAAGUGCCUGCCAUGAAUUAAAAGGAAAGGGAGUUGUUACAAUAGGUUUAUGCGAACUCGGCUAAUCGAGAGUUGUUGUGGUUAUUGCGUAAGCGGUUUGGAGCUGAGGCUGCAGUUGCCACUGAUUGCAGGCCGAAAAGAAAGGGUCUCUUGAUGCGUUUGGUUUUUGAGUUUCGAUUAUUCGAGCUUUACCUUUUCAGGAACCAGAUGAGGAAGCAUUAUGGAGAGUUAUACUGUGUUUGGUUUAUAUAUGUUAUUGUAUUAAUUAGAUUAUUUUCUUUCCUCAUCUUUGUUAUUACAAGUUUGUAAGAGGGAUAGGAGUUGUAUGUUUUAUAUGUAUAUUAUAUUAUGAGUUAUUA